RNAcentral lists this ribosomal RNA (496 nucleotides) under uncultured bacterium. RNAcentral's name for it is "partial 16S ribosomal RNA". It matches the Rfam family "Bacterial small subunit ribosomal RNA", at positions 29 to 507 of the family's 1533-position model. The record is from RNAcentral.
AUGAACGCUGGCGGCGUGCCUAAUACAUGCAAGUCGAGCGAACAGACGAGGAGCUUGCUCCUCUGACGUUAGCGGCGGACGGGUGAGUAACACGUGGAUAACCUACCUAUAAGACUGGGAUAACUUCGGGAAACCGGAGCUAAUACCGGAUAAUAUAUUGAACCGCCUGGUUCAAUAGUGAAAGACGGUUUUGCUGUCACUUAUAGAUGGAUCCGCGCCGCAUUAGCUAGUUGGUAAGGUAACGGCUUACCAAGGCAACGAUGCGUAGCCGACCUGAGAGGGUGAUCGGCCACACUGGAACUGAGACACGGUCCAGACUCCUACGGGAGGCAGCAGUAGGGAAUCUUCCGCAAUGGGCGAAAGCCUGACGGAGCAACGCCGCGUGAGUGAUGAAGGUCUUCGGAUCGUAAAACUCUGUUAUUAGGGAAGAACAAAUGUGUAAGUAACUAUGCACGUCUUGACGGUGCCUAAUCAGAAAGCCACGGCUAACUACGUG